Long non-coding RNA from Photinus pyralis (common eastern firefly), 3907 nucleotides. RefSeq lists it as uncharacterized. The record is from RefSeq and is a predicted model, not a curated record. The transcript is spliced from 3 exons. Lineage: Eukaryota; Metazoa; Arthropoda; Insecta; Coleoptera; Lampyridae.
AGUUGCAAAAUGUUAUACAAUUCGAUCAAUCUACUAACAAACAACGAAACUUUUAGACGUAAUGUGAUAAUGCAUGAUAUAAUUUUUUUUUAACGUAAGUUGAAUCUAUUUGCACAGGGUGUAACAUCAAUAUUAAAAGAAUCUGCGUGGGAGAUAGAUAAUAAUAGUAAUGGUGUUUAUUAAGUCAUACCAAGAGAAAAUGUGCGUAUUUAAAGGUGAUCAUAUAAUAAUUAGUGUAAGGAAAGACGUUGUGUAUGCGAACAUUGGAUACAAGAAAAAUAAACAUGAAGGUCAACAAGAAAAAUUGGGAAAGUGCUAAAUUUGAAUGUCUCAUCAAGAUCAAACUCGAUAUGUUACCUGAAUUAUAUCUUUAAAUCAAUAAAUACUUUUGAAUGCGGCAAAUACAUCGCUUGCUUUAUUUGGUGAUGCAUUUUAUGCAUAUCCUCUCUACCUAAUAGUGUAGAGCUUCUAAAUAUUGUAAGGUAACAAUAAGUUUUUAAAAUUUUGAAAAAAAUGAACAUCGGCCAACCAUUAGUUCCAUUUUUUUUUAAUUAAGCGAUUAAAGAACAGAGAUUAGACUGGCAUAUUUUGAGAAUCAUUAGUUCAUUUGAACAAAUGAUUUUUUUGGCCCAUCUACCACAAUCAUUUUUUACCUACUUACAUAUUGUGUCACCCUGUUGCAAUGGUAUUUGGUGCAAUAAAGGGAAAAUCUUUGAUUUACAAAAUUUUGAAAUUCCGAAUUCAAACUGUGAUUUCUAUACAAAACUCAAAUGAAUUGUGAUUUCUCCUGGGCUAGGUUAAAUCUCGCCUGCAAAAGAACAACGCUAAUGUCCAUCUAAAUGUAUAUUAUAAGUAAUUUAAUUUCCAAAUAGUUUCCACAUGCACUUUCCCUUAAUCUAUGAAUUUAUGAAAAAUACGUAUACUUUUUCUUAAAAACCUAAUUGAAAUGACCAUCUCAUUCUGCAUUUUUUAAAUAACUUCAAUUUUCACAUUUAAAUUAUACAUUAGACACCAAAACAAAUGUUAAUUCACUUUUAAUAUAAAAGAAAAACUACCAAAAAUUAAUGAACCCUUGAAAUUGGCCGAUUGUACAUUGAAAUUACGGAAGAAAAUUUAAAUUCUGGAACCAAAACGAAUCUUGAAUGUACACAAAAUUUAAUAGCCUCUUCAGUUUACACAGUACGGCUUAUAUUCGAAAUUCCAAAUUGAUUUAAUUCUUUAAGACCAAUUAAUUAAAGCUUAACGUUAAAUGUUAUUCCUUUUUUUACAAAAAUAAAUGGAACUAACCUCGGACUACAGGGGCAUAUAACACAAGCCCUACAAGUCCUACAAUUGUUAGAAUAUAUUUGACACUUGUAGCUUUUUCAUAACACAACUCAUUUGCAUAUACCGAAUUAAGUAGGACUUGUGGUUAUAGUUACAGGCAGAUUACUCGUAAUUGGUUGACUUGUUACAAUUGUAUAGUUUGUGUUAUAGGCCCCUGGUCCUCUUGUUCAUGGAAAGGAUUGAGUUUCUUAAUUUUUAGAUAAUAAUAAUAAUAAUAUAUUUUAUUUCCCAUCUAACAGCAGAGCCUAAUUACAGAUGAGAAAGUGAAUAAAUGUAAAUAUAAAUAAUGUAAAUAAAUCUAGUAUACAAGUAUCACAGAAAACAGAUAGAGAUAUCGCGCACGUUGCAGUUGAAGAUAUCAACAUGUCGAUUAACCGAUUCAAGACAGGCACACAUACGCGAUAUCAGUGACGUACACAAGGAUUGUUUAUAAACAAACAGGUUGUUCCUCCUGAGAUGUUUUUGAGGCACAUGAAAACCAAUGCGCGCCAAAAGUGCAGGCGAGUCAAUUUUGUUAAUGAUCAAGUUGUAAAUAAACCUGGCUUGAUGAAAUUCCCUACGACGUUCAAGAGCUCCAAUAUCACCCUCGAGAAGCAGAGAGCCAUAAUCUACACCUCUCUCUGGGAAUGCACCGUGGCGUAAAUAUAGUGAUGUAAAUUGGCGACCAAACCACAGAAGCAUACUCAAGUUUAGUGCGUACGAGUGUAUUAUAUAGUGUCUUCAGAGCAUCUUCAGAUUUCAGCUCUCUUGAAUUCCUAAAAAUAAAGCCUAAGAGCUUUAACGCCUCAGAACAAAUGGUGGUAAUGUGGGUAUUAAAGUUCAGUUUAGAAUCAAACGUUAAGCCAAGGUCCUUAAUCAUCACACAACGUUUAAGCGAACAAUUAUUUAUAACAUAAUUAUGCAAUUGCGUAACCUGCUUACGAGAGAACGACAUCACACUACACUUAUCCACAUUAAGAUUUAAUUUGUUAGACAGCGACCAAUUGACGAGUAAGUUUAACUUAUACUGCAGAUCACGUGCAUCACUCAAAGUCUCAAUUUUAUUAAAUAUUUUUAUGUCAUCCGCAUAACCAAGGGCACAAUCACCAAGGGAUGAAAGUAUAUCAUUACAAAAUAUAAUAAACAAGAGUGGGCCGAGGUUUGACCCCUGUGGCACUCCCGAGGACACUUUGUAAUAAUCCGAUUUGAAGUUCUUAUAACAUACACAUUGACGACGAUCAGUAAGUUUUUCAGCUUAUUUAUGAGUAACCUAUGACAAACGUUGUCAAACGCCUUGGAGAAGUCGGUGUAAAUGACGUCCACUUGAGAUACAGAACCAAAAGCAUCCAUUAUGAACUCAGUGAAGCAAGUCAAGUUGGUUACAGUCAAGCGACCCUGAAGAAAUCCAUGCUGGUUGCUUGAGAAAUAAUCUUUACAUUGACCAAACAAGAUGUUAUAUACACAUGACUCGAGUACUUUAGCAAAGUUACUGAGUAUAGAGAUAGGUCUAUAGUUUUGAAUCACUGAUUUAUCACCCUUUUUAAAAAUUGGUAGCACCAAUACACCUUGAUGAUUAUAGUACAGAUGUUACAGAAGUUACAGAAUUUACAGAUGUUACAGGAGUUACGGGUGUUACAGGAGUUACAGAUGUUACAGAGGUUACAGAGUUACAGACGUUACAGAUGUUACAAGUGUUACAUAUGUUACAUAUGUUAAAGAUGUUACAGAUGUUACAGAUGUUACAGAUGUCAGAGAUGUCACAGACGUCACAGAUGUCACAGAUGUUACAGAUGUUUAUACGAAAUAGUAAGUAAAUUGGGAUAGUACUUCUGAGAGUAACUUGCACUAGCGUUUACAUAAUAAGCAAGUUGUAAAAAGCACUCUCAGAUUUCAGCGUGUUUGAAUGUGCGUAUACACAGUAGAGCUGUACAGAUUUUUGACUAGAUUUGCCAAUUCGGAGAUCCUUCAGAAGUGUUAAUUAAAGUAAACGUGUCUUCUUUUGACCCUACACGUUUUCCCUACAAAAAAUGGAAUCUCGUUUUGAUGUGUUGGGAUCCCGGCCUGCUUGGUCUGAAAAGAAUUUCAAGGUACAACUUUUCAGGUGCCUAUUUCCUUUUGGUUCCAUAUAGUGCUGUGUUCUGUUUAAAUACCAGAGGACGCCUUUUGUCUAUUAGGACGAAUUGCUGUCAUUAGAAUUUCCGUAAAAUUUUCCAGUUCAAGUUGCCGUCUAUUGAAGAAGUUCUUGUUAAGACUUUUUGGAACGAAAUUAUGUUCCUGUUUUAAGACGUUGUGCGAACAUUUUAAGUAAAUUUCUACGAAACACGGACGGCUAUUUCAAGUUUCCGUAAACAACGUUACCACAACCGUUUCGGGGAUAUGAAGUAGAAAAAUCAAGUUUUUGUGUCACGUGUUAUCAGGUGCAUUUACUUCCGUUAAUUUAAUUAGUGUUUGGUGUGAUCGGACUAUAUUUGGAUAUUUUAACUCAAAAACUGUAAUGAUUUUUUCUUAGUAGCUGUUAUAAUGUUGGUAGUUGAACACCCAUGUUGUUUUGAUUGUUCGGACAUUGUGGUCCAAUUGCAUUUUGAUAGGAGUGUAUGUUUCA